CUUUCUCCGCCUUUUUCCCAAGCAAUAACCCUCAAAAAGUUCACUUGACACUGAUCGAUGAUUCUUUAGUUAUCCUGACUAAAGCUGAAUUUCUAGAAGCAAUUAACCUUCGAGUUCUUCCUUCAACUAGAAUCUACUCACAAAGCAUCAAUGACAUAACCUCAACCCUAUACCAGAUGGGUUAUCAGAAGAAAUUGAAAGGAAUUGGGAAAUUCAAGAAAAACCAGCUCCCUACGGUAUGGCAAUACGUCUGUCACUUUGUCAUCCGGAGUCUCUCUGGUAGAACCGGUGGCACGGACAACAUGGGACUCAAACUGCUUGAACUUGUAUGGAGCAUCUUCACAGGCAAUGCAAUCAACUAUGGCCAAAUUCUAUGGGAUGACUUUCUACAAUAUGUUCCCAAGGAGAAUCCUUGAGAAGACCCAAUUGAACUCACUUUUCAACACUACUGGUCUCUCUGCAUUUUGGAUCUUCACAAAGAUGCGAACCUUGACAUGGGUGAUGAUAUCAAUCUCUUUGCUACCCACGAUUUAAAAAGAUACACUCUCUCCAAAUAUCAAUCAAUUUUUGGAUCUCUUAGGAGAUUACUUGCACAUAUUCUGAAGACUAUUGGACUUGAAACUCGAGAAAUCACAGAUC
Molecule: long non-coding RNA, 639 nt
Filed under: Lactuca sativa (garden lettuce)
Lineage: Eukaryota; Viridiplantae; Streptophyta; Magnoliopsida; Asterales; Asteraceae
Description: long non-coding RNA (LSAT_LNC007485)
Source: RNAcentral